GGCGAACGCUCGCGGCGCGCCUAACACAUGCAAGUCGAACGAGAGCUUGGGGGUUACCUUUCUCCAGCGAGUGGCGCACGGGUGAGCUACCCGUGAGGACCCCGUCACAACGAGGGGGAAAACAGUUUGAAACGACUGCUCAUACCGCCUAAGCCUUCGCCCCGGUAUCGGGUCGAGGGUAAAGUCGCAAUCCGCUUUGAGAUGGCCCCGCGUCCGAUUAGCUAGUUGGUCAGGUCAUGGCCCACCAAGGCGACGAUCGGUAGCCGGACUGAGAGGAUGACCGGCCACAGUGGGACUGAGACACGGCCCAGACUCCUACGGGAGGCAGCAGUGGGGAAUAUUGCACAAUGGGGGAAACCCUGAUGCAGCGACGCCGCGUGGAGGAAGAAGGCCUUAGGAUUGUAAACUCCUGUUAUUGAGGAAGAUAAUGACGGUACCCAACAAGGAAGCGACGGCUAACUACGUG
RNAcentral lists this ribosomal RNA (466 nucleotides) under uncultured bacterium. RNAcentral describes it as "partial 16S ribosomal RNA". It matches the Rfam family "Bacterial small subunit ribosomal RNA", at positions 28 to 507 of the family's 1533-position model. The record is from RNAcentral.